Molecule: transfer RNA, 79 nt
Organism: Serendipita vermifera MAFF 305830
Lineage: Eukaryota; Fungi; Basidiomycota; Agaricomycetes; Sebacinales; Serendipitaceae
Rfam family: tRNA
About the family: Transfer RNA (tRNA) molecules are approximately 80 nucleotides in length. Their secondary structure includes four short double-helical elements and three loops (D, anti-codon, and T loops).
Source: Rfam
GGCCGUUUAGCUCAGCUGGUUAGAGCGCCGAGCUAAUAUUGUAACUCGGAGGUCUUGGGUUCGAUCCCCACAAUGGCCA